This 216-nucleotide ribosomal RNA is filed under the name Lacticaseibacillus paracasei. RNAcentral describes it as "partial 16S ribosomal RNA". It matches the Rfam family "Bacterial small subunit ribosomal RNA", at positions 318 to 526 of the family's 1533-position model. The record is from RNAcentral. Lineage: Bacteria; Bacillati; Bacillota; Bacilli; Lactobacillales; Lactobacillaceae.
ACUGAGACACGGUCCAAACUCCUACGGGAGGCAGCAGUAGGGAAUCUUCCACAAUGGACGCAAGUCUGAUGGAGCAACGCCGCGUGAGUGAAGAAGGCUUUCGGGUCGUAAAACUCUGUUGUUGGAGAAGAAUGGUCGGCAGAGUAACUGUUGUCGGCGUGACGGUAUCCAACCAGAAAGCCACGGCUAACUACGUGCCAGCAGCCGCGGUAAUAC